This 24-nucleotide non-coding RNA is filed under the name Arabidopsis thaliana (thale cress). The record is from RNAcentral. Lineage: Eukaryota; Viridiplantae; Streptophyta; Magnoliopsida; Brassicales; Brassicaceae.
GGGGGCCCUUAAGUGGAGGCUCAA